UGUGUUUGUGUCAAUUGUAUUAUUUUUUUCUCUCCCUGGCCUCUCUUUCCCUCACCCUCAACCUCUUCCCCUAUUUCUUUGUUAUAGUAUUUUUCUUUAUGUGCUUGUAUCAGUCGUAUAUUUUUAUCCGUUUUAGUCUUUUUAUUCACAUUUAUGCGUUUGAUAAAUGUGCCCUUUUCGAUCUGUUUCUCUAAAAAAUCUAAGUAGGCAACUUUGAGAAGAUACAUAUAUG
This 232-nucleotide long non-coding RNA is filed under the name Solanum tuberosum (potato). RNAcentral's name for it is "long non-coding RNA (STUB_LNC005791)". The record is from RNAcentral. Lineage: Eukaryota; Viridiplantae; Streptophyta; Magnoliopsida; Solanales; Solanaceae.